GCGCUUUUAGCUCAGUUGGUAGAGCAACUGACUCUUAAUCAGUGGGUCCAGGGUUCGAGUCCCUGAAGGCGCACCA
RNAcentral lists this transfer RNA (76 nucleotides) under Finegoldia magna. RNAcentral describes it as "tRNA-Lys". It matches the Rfam family "tRNA". From Rfam's summary of the family: Transfer RNA (tRNA) molecules are approximately 80 nucleotides in length. Their secondary structure includes four short double-helical elements and three loops (D, anti-codon, and T loops). RNAcentral also lists the same sequence under 1 other name. The record is from RNAcentral. Lineage: Bacteria; Bacillati; Bacillota; Tissierellia; Tissierellales; Peptoniphilaceae.